Molecule: long non-coding RNA, 2545 nt
Organism: Rhipicephalus sanguineus (brown dog tick)
Lineage: Eukaryota; Metazoa; Arthropoda; Arachnida; Ixodida; Ixodidae
Exons: 8
Source: RefSeq, a predicted model, not a curated record
UUUGUAUGUUUGGUUAUAAGCGAGCCGGCUGGAUGUAUUAUUUCUAUUUCAUGUCUGCAGGAGAUGUCAACAUAAACUUGUUUGGUUGUAAAAUGAAUCAAAAAGAAAUAAUUACGUUGGCAGCAAUGUCUGCUGCUUUCGCUUGCUUUUCUCUUUGUCUAACUGCCUCAAAAGGUCAGUUUAGGAACAAAUAGUUUGCACGACUUUGGAAAACCCUAUACUAUGUGUUGAAGCUGUGUUAGAGUGCUUGGUACUUUAUAGUAUUUCUAGGCACCCAGACUGAUGCUGUCUCUCCAGACUUCAGAGACGUGGGCACUGCAACUGACACUGAGGACUGUGGCAGCAGCUUUUUGAGGCACUCUACCCCCACCAAAAUUCGGCGGAUUAGUGAGGAGUUCAUCAUUCCUGAAGAUUUGAACUCCUCUUAUGAGUCGUCUGCUUGUGACACAAGUGCUGGGAGCUUCAUCAUUCCUGAAAAUUUGGACUCCUCUUAUGAGCCAUCUGCUUGUGACACAAGUGCUGGGAGCUUCAACUGUGCACUUGAAGACGCUGUGGACACUUCCGGCCCUCUGGAGGAGCCAAAAUACAUUGUCUUUGAGAGCAUGUUGUUGGAACUGUUUUCCAAGUGCAGUGUGUGCCUCAGGCAAACAAGCAUCCAGACAGAAGUCAAAGGCACAGCACUUGAGGUUUUUACGCUCUGUCCCAACCUGCAUAAAUUCGUUUGGUGCAGUCAACCAAAAAUUGGGCAGUAUGCAGCGGGAAAUGUCCUGCUUGCAGCAGGCAUCCUAUUCUCCGGCCUGAACGCAGCCAAGUCUUUGCGGCUGCUGUCGUCCAUAAAGGUGGCUACCAUCACAGAAAGGACAUUCUUUCGCCACCAGCAGAACCUGUUGAUUCCAUCUGUGCAGAAAGUAAGGACUCAAUCGUGCGACAUCUAAUCUCCAUGGCAUUGCAACUAUUAGCUUGGUGAUGUGCAGUGUUUUCUUGAUUGUGCAAAGAGAAAUGAGAAUUCAAAAUUAUUUCAAAAAUUAUUUCCAAACCAAAUUCAGAGCAGUUAGAUGCUGUGUGUGGGUGCAAGUUUGCAUUUUUGCACCCUUGCAUUUUUUUGCAGCACUGUCAUGGCAGAAAUUGCACAUUUAUGUGUUACGAAAGUCUGUGCAUUCGGUAAACAUAUAUGGUAAGCAACUUGGGACUGAACAGAAAGUGAAAUUAGAAUGAAAUUUACAACCUCUUGCAUGGCAGUUGCAGUGUCUACUGUGUCAACAUGUGAUUACUAUAACACUCAUUUUUUUACUCACUACGAUUUUUUAAGGUUUGGAAAGAGGAGCAGGAAGGGCUCCUUUCAGCUGCUGUGGGAAGGGACAUGGUCAUAGCUGGCGAUGGCCGUUCAGACUCUCCUGGAUUUUCUGCCAAGUUUGGCACAUAUUCCAUGCUGGAUGUGACCGCUAACAAGAUCAUUCAUCUUGAGCUGGUGCAGUCAAACGAGGUUGGCGGAAGCUGCCACAUGGAGCUCGAAGGCCUUAAGCGUGGCCUCAACUACCUGCAAGGACGAAGAGUGAAAGUUUCUACUCUGAUAACAGAUAGGCAUGCACAAAUCCGAAAGUACCUCGCCAACAACCACAGUGACACGGACCACAGAUAUGAUGUGUGGCAUGUCGGAAAAGGAAUCAAGAAGAAGCUUAUAGCGGCGUCAAAACGAUUCAAGGACAGUGACAUCAUCCUUGUUUGGGUGAAAUCAAUUGUAAGCCACCUCUACUACUGCGCUUGCACCAGCAAUGGAGAUGGGUAGCUGAUUGUGGCGAAGUGGCUCUCAAUCUUGAACCACAUUUCGAAUGUGCACAGCGGACAUUCACCCAUUUUUCCAACUUGUGAGCAUGGCCCUCUGGAACGGCGCAGAUGGAUAAAGCAAGGCACACGGGCACACGACCAAGUGGCUGCAAUUGUAGCUGCUAAGAGACUGGUCACAGAUGUGAGGCAGUUGUCGACAAAGGGGCAGACAUUUCAUGCCUGCCUUAUACACUUUGCCCCCAAAUCUACAGCCUAUACCUAUGAAGUCAUGGCAGCCAGGCUAUGUGACUCGUUUGCUGCAGUGUGCUGUGGAGUAUGCUCAAGCUACACCAGUUCUCAACAGGAGCACCCCACCACCACCACCUCUGAGCAAGAGCUAUCCCGAAGUUCCAACCCAGGAAUUGGUGCAGAAGCGAAGGCAUCGGUAUAGCCUGUGCUGACAAAAAACUGCACCACACAGCUUGGAAGAGGCUUUCUGUUAUAUCUGCCCAGCUUGUGCCAAAUCCAUCUUGCAAAACAGAUGUACGCUGUGUUCCUGUACCUCCUGCAAUAAAAGAAUAAAUUACUACCCUAUUCACGUGCUUGCUGCUGUUUUUUAUCAAGUGAAACACAUAGUGAUUUACACAUAAUAAAAAUUCUUGCAACUUAGUUGAUAUGAGAGCUACCGCAUGGUUGAAUAUGAAGGGUCGCUGCAGUCACUUAUUACAGUACCUGUGUAUGUCAACAGCUUGGAUUUGUUCCUGAUUUAAAGCCAUCAUAU